Molecule: ribosomal RNA, 589 nt
Filed under: Salmonella enterica subsp. enterica serovar Infantis
Lineage: Bacteria; Pseudomonadati; Pseudomonadota; Gammaproteobacteria; Enterobacterales; Enterobacteriaceae
Also listed under: 11 other names
Description: partial 23S ribosomal RNA
Rfam family: Bacterial large subunit ribosomal RNA
Source: RNAcentral
UUGAUGUUCUAACGUGGACCCGUAAUCCGGGUUGCGGACAGUGUCUGGUGGGUAGUUUGACUGGGGCGGUCUCCUCCUAAAGAGUAACGGAGGAGCACGAAGGUUGGCUAAUCCUGGUCGGACAUCAGGAGGUUAGUGCAAUGGCAUAAGCCAGCUUGACUGCGAGCGUGACGGCGCGAGCAGGUGCGAAAGCAGGUCAUAGUGAUCCGGUGGUUCUGAAUGGAAGGGCCAUCGCUCAACGGAUAAAAGGUACUCCGGGGAUAACAGGCUGAUACCGCCCAAGAGUUCAUAUCGACGGCGGUGUUUGGCACCUCGAUGUCGGCUCAUCACAUCCUGGGGCUGAAGUAGGUCCCAAGGGUAUGGCUGUUCGCCAUUUAAAGUGGUACGCGAGCUGGGUUUAGAACGUCGUGAGACAGUUCGGUCCCUAUCUGCCGUGGGCGCUGGAGAACUGAGGGGGGCUGCUCCUAGUACGAGAGGACCGGAGUGGACGCAUCACUGGUGUUCGGGUUGUCAUGCCAAUGGCACUGCCCGGUAGCUAAAUGCGGAAGAGAUAAGUGCUGAAAGCAUCUAAGCACGAAACUUGCCCCGA